AGUGAACGCUGGCGGUAGGCCUAACACAUGCAAGUCGAACGGCAGCACAGUAAGAGCUUGCUCUUACGGGUGGCGAGUGGCGGACGGGUGAGGAAUACAUCGGAAUCUACUUUUUCGUGGGGGAUAACGUAGGGAAACUUACGCUAAUACCGCAUACGACCUACGGGUGAAAGCAGGGGAUCUUCGGACCUUGCGCGAUUGAAUGAGCCGAUGUCGGAUUAGCUAGUUGGCGGGGUAAAGGCCCACCAAGGCGACGAUCCGUAGCUGGUCUGAGAGGAUGAUCGGCCACACUGGAACGGGGAACCGGUCCAGGCUCCUACGGGAGGCAGCAGUGGGGAAUUUUGAAAAAUGGGCGCAAGCCUGACCCAGCCAUACCGGGGGGGUGAAGAAGGCCUUCGGGUUGUAAAGCCCUUUUGUUGGGAAAGAAAAGCAGCAGGUUAAUACCCCGCUGUUCUGGCGGUACCCAAAGAAUAAGCACCGGCUAACUUCGU
RNAcentral lists this ribosomal RNA (491 nucleotides) under uncultured bacterium. Its description in RNAcentral is "partial 16S ribosomal RNA". It matches the Rfam family "Bacterial small subunit ribosomal RNA", at positions 29 to 506 of the family's 1533-position model. The record is from RNAcentral.